AUGUUUCCUACCAUGGUCCAGACGCACCGGGCGAAAGGGCAUGUUAGGAUUAGGAAUCUCGGUGCCGGCCCAAGGGCACUCCUUGUCAGUCCAGUCAAGCCGUUUCCACCUGAGACGAAGAGCUCUGCUGAAGCGUUGGAGAUCGAGCACCCCAAGGUCCCCCAGCCGCUUGGGGCGACAAACAGUGCUCCAAUUGACGAGAGCCAUACCCUAGUUGGUAUCAGGCUUGGAGCGCCACAAAAAAUUCCUCCGAAGCUUAUCCAUUUGUUUGAGAGCCCACCCAUCAAGCUUGAAUACAGAAAGAAGGUGAACUGGAAUGGCCUCGCGACUCGGGCGCCUGGCCGCCCCGGCCCAACAGGCCCGGCCCAGGAGGCGGUCACCGCUUCUGUCAGUCAUGCUGCUGGGCUGCCUCUUCCCUCCCAGCCCACCGGGCCCGAUGCCGCUUCCGCUGUCACUGCCACCGCUCUAGCUGUUGCCGUGCAGGGCCUCUCUGUUGACCCCAUGCUCUCCCCUGCCUUGCCAUUCCUCUCUGCAAUCAGCACCGCUAUCCAGCCGCCGCUCAUCUGUUCCCCUCCUCCCACGCGCCAGCCGCCGGCGCUGCAGGCGGCCACCCCGGUGAGGCGCACCAGCCGUAGGCUUGCCGGGCAGCCUGCCGCCGGCCUGACCACCAUCGAGCGGGCACGCAGCAUGCUCCGCAAGAAGUGGGGAAUCGCGGCUGACCUCAACGACAAGGCCACGGAGGAAGCCAUGAUGCAAAGCUUCCUCGACAUGUUCACGGAUCCCCUCAGCGCUGAGGAGAUCGAGGCGGUGAAGGCCCUCUUCUCCUCCGUCCAGCGGAUCAAAGGAAGGCCAAGCUCCAAGGGGCGCCCCGCAGCCGUUCGCCGGCUGCGCGACCGCCGCGAAACAAAGCUCGCUCACAUCGACCGCUCGAUUGUGCUCGAGCUCCUUGGGAAUGGCUUUGCUGACUCAUUCUGCUUCCUCCCGACUGAUGGCACCAGAGGAGGGAUCCUCUUGGCUUUCUCCUCUGACCUUUUCGUCAUCACGAGCUCUAAUGCCACAACUCAUACGAUCUCUGCUUCCGUCUCCAUGCGUGCUUCGGCCGCCUCCUGGAGCAUCUAUGUGGUUUAUGACCCCCAAACCGACAAUGACAACACCUGCCUGCAGCAGACUAAAACCAAGAUCGACCAUGUCUUCUGCUCUACUAAUCGGAAUCUCCUUUUUCCCCAAUGCCACCUGCGUGCCACCUCCUCCUCCAUAUCUGACCACUAUGCUAUGCUCCUCACUGGUCAAGUUAGCCACUGGAAGUUCUCCGGGUUCCGUUUUGAGAACUACUGGCUUAAAAUUCGAGGAUUCAGAGACGUUGUAACUGAAUCGUGGCAGGCGUCGGUCGCUCCCGACGGAGACUCCAUGUGCAGAUUGCACUGCAAGUUAUCCCGCCUCGCCAAAUCCCUCCGGCUUUGGAGCCGCCGGCGCGUGGGCAACAUCACCCUGCUGUCCGCGAUUGCUGAUCUGGUCAUUCUGGGCCUCGGCUCUGCUCAGGACGGCCGUGAUCUGUCCAUCGCGGAGAUGGGUCUCCGGCUGCACCUCAGGCACAAGCUCCUCGGUCUGGCUGCCAUCCAGCGGGUGCGUAUCCGACAACGGUCUCGCAUCCUCUACCUGCGUGCCAAUGAGGCUGAUUCCAAGCUCUUCCACAUCAAGGCUAACGGACGGAGAAGACGGAAUUUCAUCCCGGUUCUGGACAACGGUGAGGCCCAGCUCACCCUGCAGGCUGACAAGCAGAAGGCGCUUCUUGACCACUUCAGAAGCACGAUCGGCACCCCAACCCCCAGGGAGUGUUCGAUCAAUUGGGAGUACCUGGAUAUGCCGAGGCACGAUCUAUCUGCUUUGGAGAUGGACUUCACCGAGGAGGAAAUCAAGGCAGCCCUCCGCGGAUCAGCAUCGCGCGCCAUCCCCGAUGGCCCUGGAGCCGCCGCAAUGCUGGUCAACGCGCCGGCUGGAGGUGCGCUCCUGAAGGAGGCCGAGCGCUGCGGCGACGCCUGCUCUCCUGCUCUGCCGCGGCGGGCGUCGAGGCCGCCUCCCCUCGUCGAGGUCUUCGCGCGAACCGUCAGGCCUCCGUCGCGCUCCGGGUCAACCUCCUUCUGCAAGCUCCUCGCCGACCGGCUCGAGGUGCCGCCGCGGGAAGAGAGCCGAGCGCCGCCUGCUCGCCCGUGCUGA
RNAcentral lists this ribosomal RNA (2214 nucleotides) under Triticum aestivum (bread wheat). RNAcentral describes it as "partial small subunit ribosomal RNA". The record is from RNAcentral. Lineage: Eukaryota; Viridiplantae; Streptophyta; Magnoliopsida; Poales; Poaceae.